CGGCGAUGUCCGAAUGGGGAAACCCAGUGCAAUUCGUUGCACUAUCGUUAACUGAAUACAUAGGUUAACGAGGCGAACCGGGGGAACUGAAACAUCUAAGUACCCCGAGGAAAAGAAAUCAACCGAGAUUCCCCCAGUAGCGGCGAGCGAACGGGGAGCAGCCCAGAGUCUGAAUCAGCUUGUGUGUUAGUGGAACGGUCUGGAAAGUCCGACGGUACAGGGUGAUAGUCCCGUACACCAAAAUGCACAGGCUGUGAACUCGAAGAGUAGGGCGGGACACGUGGUAUCCUGUCUGAAUAUGGGGGGACCAUCCUCCAAGGCUAAAUACUCCUGACUGACCGAUAGUGAACCAGUACCGUGAGGGAAAGGCGAAAAGAACCCCGGCGAGGGGAGUGAAAAAGAACCUGAAACCGUGUACGUACAAGCAGUGGGAGCACCUUCGGGUGUGACUGCGUACCUUUUGUAUAAUGGGUCAGCGACUUAUAUUCUGUAGCAAGGUUAACCGUAUAGGGGAGCCGCAGGGAAACCGAGUCUUAACUGGGCGUUAAGUUGCAGGGUAUAGACCCGAAACCCGGUGAUCUAGCCAUGGGCAGGUUGAAGGUUGGGUAACACUAACUGGAGGACCGAACCGACUAAUGUUGAAAAAUUAGCGGAUGACUUGUGGCUGGGGGUGAAAGGCCAAUCAAACCGGGAGAUAGCUGGUUCUCCCCGAAAGCUAUUUAGGUAGCGCCUCGUGAAUUCAUCUUCGGGGGUAGAGCACUGUUUCGGCUAGGGGGUCAUCCCGACUUACCAACCCGAUGCAAACUACGAAUACCGAAGAAUGUUAUCACGGGAGACACACGGCGGGUGCUAACGUCCGUCGUGAAGAGGGAAACAACCCAGACCGCCAGCUAAGGUCCCAAAGUCAUGGUUAAGUGGGAAACGAUGUGGGAAGGCACAGACAGCCAGGAUGUUGGCUUAGAAGCAGCCAUCAUUUAAAGAAAGCGUAAUAGCUCACUGGUCGAGUCGGCCUGCGCGGAAGAUGUAACGGGGCUAAACCAUGCACCGAAGCUGCGGCAGCGACACUAUGUGUUGUUGGGUAGGGGAGCGUUCUGUAAGCCUGCGAAGGUGUGCUGUGAGGCAUGCUGGAGGUAUCAGAAGUGCGAAUGCUGACAUAAGUAACGAUAAAGCGGGUGAAAAGCCCGCUCGCCGGAAGACCAAGGGUUCCUGUCCAACGUUAAUCGGGGCAGGGUGAGUCGACCCCUAAGGCGAGGCCGAAAGGCGUAGUCGAUGGGAAACAGGUUAAUAUUCCUGUACUUGGUGUUACUGCGAAGGGGGGACGGAGAAGGCUAUGUUAGCCGGGCGACGGUUGUCCCGGUUUAAGCAUGUAGGCUGAUUGUCCAGGCAAAUCCGGAUAAUCAAGGCUGAGGUGUGAUGACGAGGCACUACGGUGCUGAAGUAACAAAUGCCCUGCUUCCAGGAAAAGCCUCUAAGCAUCAGGUAACAUCAAAUCGUACCCCAAACCGACACAGGUGGUCAGGUAGAGAAUACCAAGGCGCUUGAGAGAACUCGGGUGAAGGAACUAGGCAAAAUGGUGCCGUAACUUCGGGAGAAGGCACGCUGGUGUGUAGGUGAAGCCCCUGCGGGUGGAGCUGAGACCAGUCGAAGAUACCAGCUGGCUGCAACUGUUUAUUAAAAACACAGCACUGUGCAAACACGAAAGUGGACGUAUACGGUGUGACGCCUGCCCGGUGCCGGAAGGUUAAUUGAUGGGGUUAUCCGUAAGGAGAAGCUCUUGAUCGAAGCCCCGGUAAACGGCGGCCGUAACUAUAACGGUCCUAAGGUAGCGAAAUUCCUUGUCGGGUAAGUUCCGACCUGCACGAAUGGCGUAAUGAUGGCCAGGCUGUCUCCACCCGAGACUCAGUGAAAUUGAACUCGCUGUGAAGAUGCAGUGUACCCGCGGCAAGACGGAAAGACCCCGUGAACCUUUACUAUAGCUUGACACUGAACAUUGAGCCUUGAUGUGUAGGAUAGGUGGGAGGCUUUGAAGCGUGGACGCCAGUCUGCGUGGAGCCAACCUUGAAAUACCACCCUUUAAUGUUUGAUGUUCUAACGUUGGCCCCUUACCGGGGUUGCGGACAGUGUCUGGUGGGUAGUUUGACUGGGGCGGUCUCCUCCCAAAGCGUAACGGAGGAGCACGAAGGUUAGCUAAUCCUGGUCGGACAUCAGGAGGUUAGUGCAAUGGCAUAAGCUAGCUUGACUGCGAGCGUGACGGCGCGAGCAGGUGCGAAAGCAGGUCAUAGUGAUCCGGUGGUUCUGAAUGGAAGGGCCAUCGCUCAACGGAUAAAAGGUACUCCGGGGAUAACAGGCUGAUACCGCCCAAGAGUUCAUAUCGACGGCGGUGUUUGGCACCUCGAUGUCGGCUCAUCACAUCCUGGGGCUGAAGUAGGUCCCAAGGGUAUGGCUGUUCGCCAUUUAAAGUGGUACGCGAGCUGGGUUUAGAACGUCGUGAGACAGUUCGGUCCCUAUCUGCCGUGGGCGCUGGAGAAUUGAGGGGGGCUGCUCCUAGUACGAGAGGACCGGAGUGGACGCAUCACUGGUGUUCGGGUUGUCAUGCCAAUGGCACUGCCCGGUAGCUAAAUGCGGAAGAGAUAAGUGCUGAAAGCAUCUAAGCACGAAACUUGCCCCGAGAUGAGUUCUCCCUGAGACUUUAAGUCUCCUGAAGGAACGUUGAAGACGACGACGUUGAUAGGCCGGGUGUGUAAGCGCAGCGAUGCGUUGAGCUAACCGGUACUAAUGAACCGUGAGGCUUAACCUU
RNAcentral lists this ribosomal RNA (2797 nucleotides) under Klebsiella pneumoniae. RNAcentral describes it as "bacterial LSU rRNA". It matches the Rfam family "Bacterial large subunit ribosomal RNA". The record is from RNAcentral. Lineage: Bacteria; Pseudomonadati; Pseudomonadota; Gammaproteobacteria; Enterobacterales; Enterobacteriaceae.